Dreissena polymorpha is the source of this 3915-nucleotide long non-coding RNA. RefSeq lists it as uncharacterized. The transcript has 5 exons. Lineage: Eukaryota; Metazoa; Mollusca; Bivalvia; Myida; Dreissenidae. The record is from RefSeq and is a predicted model, not a curated record.
UUUACCAUGAUGACCCGAGUUUGAUCCUGUGAGACUGACGUCUGGCCUGUACCGGAAACCAUAAGGUUAUCGAACUCUGUACUCCGCUCCAGGGUGACGUAACUCUGAAUUGAAUCCAAAGAACGUAAAACUCUAGAAGCAAAUCAAUUAUGUUAAGAAAGCAAAAACCAGAACAGAAAUCAAGAGUCGUAAAAAUUACUUAGUUUUCCAUAGCAAACUUACUGUUCUCAUGAAUGAAUGUAUAUUAUAUCGCAGAUUGCCCACUUACGGUCUGCUGUUGUGGACUGUAGUUAUGAAUGUUAACUUGCAGGACGAUUUUCUCUCCUCGGAUCACGGAAUAUGGCAGAUUGACAGACACGAAAAACGGCAGAGUAACUUGAAGCUGCAGGAGAACAAACUCACAAGGUAAUUUAUUGUUAGAAGAAAAUCAAAAAGAUGUCAAAUGAUCCGUGUAUGGGUUAUAAUAUCAAUUUACAAUGGACCAACCUGCGCAGAUUGCUCCGACAUGCCCAGCCCUGUCUGUGGGUGCACCGCAAACGCUGUCGCCACCCAGGAGGUGAUGGUAUCGGGCACGGUCUCCUCAAAGUGCGCCACGCCCCCAGAUCUGUAAGGACCAGUUGCAGUUUAAUCGAACAUAUUAACCGUAAGGUACAGUUAACCCGUUGAAGAUAAGUUUUGCCGUAAAUGUUAAGUAAAAACGACCAUGCGUUUUAAUACAAAACUGGAAGAAAUGUACACAAUUUAUUCGACAGUUAAACAAGCAUGUAGACAUAAAACAUUACAUUUUACAUCGCUAAAAGGGGGUUAACUAACAUAAUUGACAUUAUUUAUUAGGCACAACAUUGAAUUGAAGCAAAUAUUAACCAUGCAUGCAUGCAUGCAAAGCUCGUUAUUCAACAUUUGGAAAGUGUCAAACAACAAUAUUUGAACAUACGUCACAAUUUGGCUUUUCCACAGCCAUGUUUCCGGAAACAAUUUUCUCGUCUGCUGAACAGGCACCAAAUCCUUUGGAGCGACAAUGGCGUGCACUUCAGGUAAAGACGCCAUGUGACGAAUUGGGGCGGAGGCAUCCGUCCAACGAGCACUCAGUAAGAAGCUUACUGGUUCUGACCGAAAUCUUCCCCAUCCUCGCCUUAACCAGGGCCUAGGUCUUGGCAUUGGUUCAGGAAUAUCUAGUCAUAAAAUCAUUCGCAAAAGCGUUGGAUCAUUCGCCGUUGUCCUCAGUAGUUCAGUCAUAUCAAGGGGACCAGUUAACUUACACUUCUAAGUUUUAACCGGUUAGAUGGUUUACCAAUGUAAGUUUACGCGAGUAUGCCAGUAACUGACAACUGCCUAACUGUAAUCAGCGAAAGUGAGAGAUGGGUAGUAAAAGAGCUAUCAUGUCCGAUUCCCAUACAAGUAAUAUUACCGGGCCGGGGAUUUAACCUUAUAAGUUAUAAGCCCGGUUUUUGUAAUAUAGCGUUCUACCAAUAGAGCUAUCAGACCAGGUUUUUGUGUGGAUAAAAUCAUAAUCGUGAUAACUAUUAUAACUAGUUUUGUUUGUAUGUGUAUUGCCUUUAUAUAAAUAAAUGUUUUUAAAUGUUUAUGGAAAUACCAGAUUUAAAAGUACGAUAUCACUUUACAGAUGCUUAACGAAUAUAUAGUAUAUGAAUAUAUGCCAUACCUGAUAAACCAUCUGAUAAUUUUAUUUUUGAAUGCAUGUUUAACACAACUGCGAACGCACAAUCAUAGAGAAUGUGCGUAUGCUUACAUCAAUGACAUCCUUGACGUCCUCCCCGCCAACCGGAAGUGGCCAUCGCCAGCAGAACCAGUCGCACACCGGAAAUGGACGACCUAACGACGAGGAGGUCAGAGACUUCAGUUGCGGCAGUGACCGCCACAGUCUCAGUUCCUGUCAGUUUUACCUCCACGGUGACCGGGCUUGACACUGGCCGAAGUAACUGACCAUGAACACUGUAUGUUUGACCAGGCCGAAAAGCGUUCGGCGCUACGAACAGGUGGAAAGGUACAAGAGUUCCCGGUGAUUAAAAUAAAGGCUGAAGACAUUGUGGACACCAAUGGUGCUGGUGAUGCAUUUGUGGGUGGGUUCCUAGCCUAGCUGAUCCAAGGCAAGCCUCUAGAAGAGUGUGUACGAUGUGGCAACUAUGCCGCUAAUAUUGUUAUACAGCGUUCAGGCUGCACAGUGCCUGCGAAACCUAACUUUAUAUAGGAGCGUAAAUUAGACUCACACAUUCCCUGAUAUGACCAGAUGAACAUGAAUUUGGUUGGAUAAAAAUCUUCAGAAAUUGUAUUGUGCUCUCAAACAAAGUUGAGAAGGUAACUAGGACGAAAGUUUAAAAAAAAAUUAGCACAAUCAAUUUAGAUAUAUAUCUUUAAAUCUACACAUUAAUUCAGGGAUUCUUUAUUGAACCUUAUAACUUAAACACAAAGUCAUUCACUUUGCAACUGUUAAAAAAUAAUAUCAUAUUGCUAGUCAUCAAAAUUCUAUUUUACUCAUUAGUGUGAUUGUGUAUCGAAGUAUCAAUGCAUUAAUUGUCAGAUUGGAAAAGAGUCCCAUGUUGUGAUGUAGUAUGAAUUGUUGGCAAAAAGGCACACAAAAAUAAUAUGUUAAUAUCCCUGUACCUUUGUUUCAUAUUGGCAGUCUGCAAAAUGGCUACUUUUUAUGUUUUUGCGCAGUUAUAUCCUUUAGGUGGAGUUGUGGACGAAAAAUGUCAUUUAUAGAGAUUUAGUCAGACUAAAAAGGGGGGGGGGGCGGGGCAGAAAAAUGGGCUAUUCUGCAUAAGCUUACAUUCUACUAUGAUUAAAGAUGUUUUUGUAUUUCUUUGUUGGUAUUUUAGUGUUAAAUUGGCAUUGUGGGAUUUAUUUUUUUUAUUUUGUCUCUGUCAUAAUUAUUUAAAUGUGGCAUUAAACACUAUAUAGGAAAUACUAAGUCUAUGUUCAAUUCAUAUUAUAGUAAUCAAGUAAGGCUUGGGAAAUAUUGGUUUUUCAAAGGAUUUGCAAGUGCUUCAGGUAUGUACCAAGUAAAUAAACUUACCUGUGUUGGGCUUUUGUCUGGUAUCUUUUUUAUCCAACUUAUUAAUCAAUUUUUCUGUCUCUAGUUUGAAAACAGCAGAAAAUGGCUCAAAUAUGAUGAGUAUUGACCUUAUGGUCAUAAACAAAAUGCCGUUUCCUGAAUGUGAAAAUUCUGAAAUAAAGCUAAGUUUAUACCAAGUUUUUUAUGCCCUCGGUAGGGUGGAAUAUAGCAGUUGAACCGUCCAUCUGUGUGUCAGUCCGUCCGAAAACUUAAACAUUUGCCAUAAAAUAUUGCAAUAUUGAAGAUAGCAACUUGAUAUUUGGCAUGCAUUUGUAUGUCAUGAAGCUGCACAUUUUGAGUGGUGAAAGGUCAAGGUCAUCCUUCAAGGUCAAAAGUAAAAAAAUACAAUCGAAGGGAAGUUAUGAGCUUUAAAAGGGAGAUAAUUUCUAAACCUGCCAAAUGAUAUAUUGAAAUUUAUUUCAAAGUGGCGCAAUAGGGGGCAUUGUGUUUCUGACAAACACAUCUCUCGUUUAUUGUGACAAUUAGUAUCUGAUAAGGAAAUUAAGUAUUUCUAAGUAAUUAAAUAUUCUCGGGAAUGGUGAAUUUAAGUAUGUGUAAUGAAAGUCUAUCUAUCUUAAAACAAGUAAGUAUAUACAUGUACAUGCUUAUAUGUACUUUUAUAUUUACAUUACGGUUUUGACUGCCCUGCACUAUUUUACCAUGUGCAUGUAUUAAACGAUCAAGGUGUAGUUGAGCAGUAAAGACACAGACUAUUUCUAUGUAUUUAAUUCAGUCUUUAUGCUCACAUUUGUCACAUCCAUUUAUGUUUAUUUUUUGUUGCUUGUUACACGUACUGUUGUUAAUUUGUUUUCAUCGAAUUUUUUUUGUGGAUUAUAUACCGU